GCAGGUUUGCCCGAGAGGUUAAGGGGGUAGACUUAAGAUCUACUGUACAUAAGUACGCGUGGGUUCGAACCCCACAGCCUGCA
RNAcentral lists this transfer RNA (83 nucleotides) under Prunus dulcis (almond). Its description in RNAcentral is "tRNA tRNA.Leu". It matches the Rfam family "tRNA". From Rfam's summary of the family: Transfer RNA (tRNA) molecules are approximately 80 nucleotides in length. Their secondary structure includes four short double-helical elements and three loops (D, anti-codon, and T loops). Further hydrogen bonds mediate the characteristic L-shaped molecular structure. tRNAs have two regions of fundamental functional importance: the anti-codon, which is responsible for specific mRNA codon recognition, and the 3' end, to which the tRNAs corresponding amino acid is attached (by aminoacyl-tRNA synthetases). tRNAs cope with the degeneracy of the genetic code in two manners: having more than one tRNA (with a specific anti-codon) for a particular amino acid; and 'wobble' base-pairing, i.e. permitting non-standard base-pairing at the 3rd anti-codon position. Lineage: Eukaryota; Viridiplantae; Streptophyta; Magnoliopsida; Rosales; Rosaceae. The record is from Rfam by way of RNAcentral. RNAcentral also lists the same sequence under 4 other names.